AUUGUACAACAAUGAAAUAUAUUCACAAACAUGCAUAUACAUUGAACACAAGUUGACAAACACAUCAAUCUUGACAAAGCAUAGUUUUUACCAUCUCAAUAAUCACCCAGAACACACAAGUCACAAAAAGAUGACACUAUUUGCCGGUAUGAGAAACUUCAACUAGAUGAUCCAGAACACACAAGUCUGUAUCCACAUGCACAAAAUGCCAGCUCCAAAAUAACAAAAUCACCAAAUGGUCUACAACACAUAAGAUCCAUGAUUACAAGUUGGUUGGUCCGUAAACGCUGCAAAGUCAUCACGUCCAUGUGCACCAGUUGGCUAAGUACCUAGAAUUCUUGACAAAAUUUGUCAAGAAAGUGUAAUCAGCUCAAGUUGUUCAAAGCUCAUUUGUGGAUUAACACAGUCAGUCAAUAAAUCCUCAUGAUAUCAACGGCUCACAUGGUACUAUAUAGAACUAUGUUCAUGUGCUUGCAGUUUUAUCAACAAUGAAGGUAUUGACCAUCUGAAACAGAGAUCAUACAACCCAGUAGCUUAUUUUAUAGUCUAUUACAUAAGCAUUCACUGAAGAAAAGACAAACUCCCUCGCAACCUCUCUAGAUUUUUCAUGAUUAAGAGCUACAUAACCUCCCACGGAAAAGAGGAAGCGUCCAGUACGGAAAAACAAAAGAAGAGUCCGGCACCUAACCCCCCACGCACAAGAUAAGCGCCCUAGCAUGUGAAAGAAAAAAAACAGCCUGGACUCCUAUUUGAUGUGUCCUGUGGAUUUAAGAAAAAUACUAGCUCUACCAAAUAGAUAGUCCGAACAUUAGCGUUCUAUGAUAAUACAGUCGGUAUUGCUUAGUGCAUCAUGUUUAACUCGGACAUGGGUUUCACAAAAAGAAUAGCUCUACCAAGUAGAUUUGCACUUAUACAAAUCAAACUUAUAGUGACGACAAUGAUAUUAGGAGAUACUUUUUUUAUCUAAUGAAGUAUCUCUCUUCGCAUUCUUUUUAAAAAUAAUGCAUGCCUACAAUACAUUUGUUUUCAACAUAGUGCAGACACACACGCUCAUACAUACGCACAUACACGUAUCCAUAUAAACGCACGCACGCGCACCCUACCCCUAACCACCCAAUCACAUGUUGGUUCGCACCUACAAUAGAAUUUUAACUAUAAUAAAUCAUGCAUGGACGACUAAGUACCAAAAUAUGUGCGCUUAGUGUCAACAAUUUAUGUUCUAUCAUCAUGUUAUGUACAACAAUACCAUGUAGACUUAUGUUGCAUUGCCAUGCCAGGUAACCAAAGAGGUGCAGCCGUGCCAACAAAGACCUGGAUACCAGCAAAAGCAUCUAGACUUAUGACACCAGAAUAUUUUUCCUAAAAAACAGCAGGAUCAUAUUUCAUAGAAAUACAAACGCAUACCAAGGGAUCACUUUGAACUCUAGGAAAAAAUUCAACAGACCCAUGCAUGGACAUGUAUAUAAAUUGUCUAACAGUCAAAUACCUAUAAAAGGGAGACGCUCAUGUCCCAAUGAAUGAAAAAAAUAGAAGGGAGACGCUCAUGGACAAACGCAUACUACUAAUCAGCAACGCAUCUCUCGCUGCAAUCGUUGGCCUAUUUACAUUCACGUUGCAACCAACUAGCUUGGCCAAAUGGAUGCGUAAACUGGAUUGGUUGGCUUUGGGAAGACCCCUAUUGGUUCAGGCCCCUAUUGCUUCUGUUCUAAUACAUAGUCGCUUUGGGAAGACAUCAGUAUGAAUAAAGCCGAUAAAUAUAGUAUGCAUGCAGAUAGAUCCUACAUACAGAGAAACAAAUCAUGUCAUCUUGUAACUUCUAAACACACUAAAAGGCUAAAGGUAUACCUUAGAGAUAACUGACCAUGAUACCUACACUUUGUUCAAUGCCCUUCUCGGAUUGGUCAUCCAUCCAGUUUAUUCUCUCAACCAUCUACCAUAAAAUAAAAGUGGUGUUCAGCUGUUACGUAAUGCCUAGUGAAUUGAUUCAAAUACCGGUCAUGAGUUGCAGAAACAUUAGCAGAGCACUUCCUAAUACAACCAGUGAGCUACAGUUACAACGGCUAGUGCUGGUAGUAGUGAAUUUAAAUUACACAUGACGCAGUCACAGGAUAAACUGAGCCAUUCAGUUGCAAACUACGCUCUACACUUUGAAAUAAGCCAUUUGGGGUGCAGAUACGUACUUAAAUGGCAAAGAGCUUGGUGUUCAAGUUGUGGGAGUUGUGCCGAAUGUGGAUUGGUCGCGGACACAUCUCAAGGUUGUUUUGUAUAUCCCACCCACACUAUCAGAUCAGCUGAAACAAAGCAGCCCAAUUUCAGACGAGAGAGUUAAAAGUAGGCACAUAAACCAUAGCAGUAGUAUAAGGGGCUCAUGGAGAGUAAGAAGAAGAACCAGUGCCUAUUCAGUUCCAAGUGGACUCGCCAUGCGUUGACUAAAAAAUAGCUCAUCUGCCAAGAUAGUAAGGUGAUACAUAUUAAAAUUGUUUGUGAUAAACUGAACCUUCAUUUCGCGGGCCUAGUUUAAAAUGAUGGACUAGUUGAACUGGUUAACAAAAAGGAAAUCCUGGACAAGCAUCAGGAUGGCAAAAUGAUGGAUCCAUCCAUUCCAUUUGCUGACUUACCACGUCAUAUCCUCAAAUGGCUUGUAUAACAUAAAUGAGGGCCCAACGGUGCCAGCGGCAUGCCUCUAGCACAAGCUAAAAAUAAAACAAUGAAGCUUAUCAUCAUAUUAUUACAUGCCAAUGAUAAACUUGCAUGGAGCCAC
This 2761-nucleotide long non-coding RNA is filed under the name Triticum aestivum (bread wheat). RNAcentral's name for it is "long non-coding RNA (TAES_LNC015082)". The record is from RNAcentral. Lineage: Eukaryota; Viridiplantae; Streptophyta; Magnoliopsida; Poales; Poaceae.